Molecule: ribosomal RNA, 467 nt
Filed under: uncultured bacterium
Lineage: Bacteria
Description: partial 16S ribosomal RNA
Rfam family: Bacterial small subunit ribosomal RNA
Source: RNAcentral
GACGAACGCUGGCGGCGUGCUUAACACAUGCAAGUCGAACGGAAAGGCCCUGCUUUUGUGGGGUGCUCGAGUGGCGAACGGGUGAGUAACACGUGAGUAACCUGCCCUUGACUUUGGGAUAACUUCAGGAAACUGGGGCUAAUACCGGAUAGGAGCUCCUGCUGCAUGGUGGGGGUUGGAAAGUUUCGGCGGUUGGGGAUGGACUCGCGGCUUAUCAGCUUGUUGGUGGGGUAGUGGCUUACCAAGGCUUUGACGGGUAGCCGGCCUGAGGGGGUGACCGGCCAAAUGGGGACGGGGAUACGGCCCAGACCCCUACGGGGGGCAGCAGGGGGGAAUAUUGCACAAGGGGGGGAAGCCUGAUGCAGAAACGCCGGGGGGGGGAUGGCGGCCUUCGGGUUGUAAACCGUUUUCGCCUGUGACGAAGGGUGGGUGACGGGAACGGGUAAAAAAGCACCGGCUAAUUACGU